RNAcentral lists this long non-coding RNA (1561 nucleotides) under Androctonus crassicauda. Lineage: Eukaryota; Metazoa; Arthropoda; Arachnida; Scorpiones; Buthidae. The record is from RNAcentral.
CGGCAUUUUUAAGGUGAAUACCGGUAUUAAUACCGGCGAAAAUUUGGACGGUAUCUCGGUUUUCGGUAUACCGGUAUUGCAUUCCCUAGUAGAAUGUAAGUCUGUUGAAAAUAUAAGUUUACUACCUAGUGGUUUAUGUACAAGUAAGUCUAAAAAUUCGUGGGAUUCCUUUACUAAUUGAGUGUAGAUCUAGGCGCAAAAUAUUUUUGACCUUUUUAUAUCCCGUGACCUUCGACUUCACCGCUUCAAUGGCGUUUUUCAUUUGGUCAGUAUUCCAUGUUUUGCUUUACUUCGAAUUUGGAGAUAAUCCUUUCAUUCAUUAUCUUUAAAAUAUCAAAAUACCGGUUGUGUCGAUAGGUUUUAGCAAAUAAAAUACAUUUUUUAUAACUUUCAAAUACUAAAUAGAAAAUGAAAAAUAAAGAAAUGUGACAUUUAUGUCAUAUUGUGCUAUAAAGUUUUAGAGUAGUCCAUUUGCUGACUAAGAAGUAUCGGAUAUUUUGAAGUAACAGUUUUGUUUAUUAUAGCAACGCUACGCCACAUUUUUCGCACUGUGAAGGUCACCGAAAGUGUGUUUGAGGACGAUUUUAGGCUAAUAACCCAAAACAGGCGUUGACCUACUGCGGUUUGGUGUUUGGCGCGUAAGGCAAGAAUGGCAACGUGAAAGAAUUCCGGCACAAACAGAGACAAACAACUAUGGUUAACAGAAAAACCCAGAAUCUUUAUUGAGAAGAGAGAGUAAUAUUACACGUUGGAGGCACAAUCUCCAAGGAGGAUAAAUACUUUGACCCGUUGGGAAAAUUAUUCAACAACCGAUGAAUAAAGGCUUCCUCUUCUUUCUUUCUCAACACAGUCUCUAAUACAAUUUAAAUUUCCUCUUGUCCCUUCUCUUUCUCCUCUCCUUUCCCAAAAAUAACAAUAAUUUACCGUACAAUUGACUGAAACUACUAGGCGAGCCCGGGGCUGUGCUAUUUCUCUCGAUGUUGCGACUUCUAUUUCGGCCUGAGCUUCUCGACGAAUUUUCCUCUUACUGCCUCAAAUAUUUUUCCUCCGACUGCCCAGAUCUUAUCAACCCGCGGAUAUAUUUUCCUCCCUAUCUUAUGCGAUAUAGGAGGGUUUUCUCUGUUCGCAUUCCAGGAGUUCCAUUUCCCGUCAUCUGUGUGUCACACGAUUCCCUCGAUGUCAUCGUGAUUUUCCCCAAAUUGCAAUUUUUUUUUCUUUAAUUUGGAACGGGUGGACGGAAACCCUCGGACCGUAAACAUGACAAGUUAAUGUGUUAUAAACGGAGCGUGUUAUUGAAACGUCGUUACUAUUCAAUUCAAUUGGCGACUCGUGCUAUCUCGUGAUAUUCUCGGUCUAGGAUACCAGGCCAUAUGACAGAUUUAUCGUUUUGUUUUCACAACUUGUGUCGUUACGACAUUCCGAUACAAUUAACAAACCUGUUCUACACCUGGACGUCCAGUUAACCGGAGGAGACCUGAAUAGGUUCUCCGAUACGCGUCUGUGCAUGGUAUUAACAACCGAUGUCAAUUUUAAUAUACAUAUCUAACAUACAAUAAUCGGA